AGCGAUUUUGAACCUUACGUUCUCCGUCUGAAUAUUUAUGAGCCUAAACAAACAUGGUGCGCUUGCGUAACAAAGCGUAUGACAGCUUUCUUUGAAGCCAUGUUUGAACUUUGGAGGUUUAGCUUCUUGGUCAUCCACACUUUUUUUGAACUCGUAUAGCAAUUCCUGGCGGAAAUUUGUUUUCGGAAUGGUUUUCCAACAAGCCAUAAGACGAAUGCAAUGUGUCAACGAUGUCUGAUUCUGAAUUUUCUGUCGCUUAAAGAAAAGCCGUCAAAAGUUACGGAGUUAUAAGACUGUUCUCUUCAAUUUUCUUUUUGCUACCUAUAUUUUAUUUGUUUAGAAGUCUGUUAUGCAGGAAUACUUGGUGCGUAUAAAACUCGAGAAAAUACUGUGUGAAGCUAGUUUGGAUACAGAAAAUGUGUUUAAACUAAGGCUAUCUGUAGAGAGAUGACAGGCACACCGUACUUAGCCUGCUCGACUCGGAGGCCAUCACACCACGCCAGGAGGCCUGCUUUGGUGGCGCCAUACACAGCGAGACCUGGCAGAGCUGCCAGUGCACAGUGGCUACUGAUUGCGAUGACGCGACCUACAUGGAUACAAAGACCAGUGAAUGGUACUAAUGCUGUUAUUUUAAAGGGACACGCAGAGACAUGGGACUUGUUUUAAGGUGCGAACCCAGCAUUUACAUGGAUAGAUGCAGGAUAACUAGAAAAUACCUCAGGCAUUAUAGUCAAUUUGCAAGAAAUUUUCACUUGUAAAGUAUAAAUGACUGGGCUGAUGGGGAAAGGCAUUCAAAUGGAAGGUAAUUUGUGAUCCAGAGGCAGUGUAGUUUUUAAAACAUUUCACAGACAUAGAUAUAAGAGUGAUAUGAAGGGGUAAUUAGUGGGUGUGGAGGUAAAACUCCGUGUUCCUAUAAAGCGUUGGCACACAUGUAAAAUGUUACAUGGCACAUCACAAAAGACUGCCAUCUGUGUUCACAUAGUUAUAAUUUAUGGUGAACAAUAAACGAAGUAGUGAAUGUUGCUGUAGCAGAACGGA
Zootermopsis nevadensis is the source of this 1038-nucleotide long non-coding RNA. RefSeq lists it as uncharacterized. Lineage: Eukaryota; Metazoa; Arthropoda; Insecta; Blattodea; Termopsidae. The record is from RefSeq and is a predicted model, not a curated record.